GAUGAACGCUGGCGGCGUGCCUAAUACAUGCAAGUCGAGCGAACUGAUUAGAAGCUUGCUUCUAUGACGUUAGCGACGGACGGGUGAGUAACACGUGGGCAACCUGCCCGUAAGACUGGGAUAACUUCGGGAAACCGAAGCUAAUACCGGAUAGGAUCUUCUCCUUCAUGGGAGAUGAUUGAAAGAUGGUUUCGGCUAUCACUUACAGAUGGGCCCGCGGUGCAUUAGCUAGUUGGUGAGGUAACGGCUCACCAAGGCAACGAUGCAUAGCCGAACUGAGAGGGUGAUCGGCCACACUGGGACUGAGACACGGCCCAGACUCCUACGGGAGGCAGCAGUAGGGAAUCUUCCGCAAUGGACGAAAGUCUGACGGAGCAACGCCGCGUGAGUGAUGAAGGCUUUCGGGUCGUAAAACUCUGUUGUUAGGGAAGAACAAGUACAAGAGUAACUGCUUGUACCUUGACGGUACCUAACCAGAAAGCCACGGCUAACUACGUGCCAGCAGCCGCCGCGG
Molecule: ribosomal RNA, 514 nt
Filed under: uncultured bacterium
Lineage: Bacteria
Description: partial 16S ribosomal RNA
Rfam family: Bacterial small subunit ribosomal RNA
Source: RNAcentral